CAACUAAUGACAUGUUAUGGCAAAAUAUCCAAGGCCAUGCACUAGCCAGUAGCCAGAAUAUUCUGCAUUGACUUAAAUAACAAAGCAUAUAAAAUUAUAAUAUAUGUUAAUGCACAUUUUAAUUAUUAGUAUGUCCAACAUGAAAAGAAUAAUAUUAUUAUGUAUAAUCAUUUUGGUAUUAAUUACUCUAUCAAAUAAUUACGUAUUCAUAAUUUUUUUUCAGAAAAGCUAAUUGUUAAUAAUCAGUUCUUUGAAAAAUUUUAAAAAUUAAUUAAUUAUCUCAUGAUUAAAGAACAGAAAUGGCACGUUCAUAUCCGAAAAACAAAAUACAAUCAGGAUAUAAGAAAACACAUACAGUGGCUGAACUCAGUGACUUACUGAUGUUUUUUGAAAAACUUUUCAAUACUACAGUGCCAUAAUAAUAAUUAUUUAUGUUAAACUAUAAAAUGGAUAAUAUYCAUGUAUUUGGGAUAAGACUCCUAGAGGGAAACAUACUGCCUACACAGUGGUAAUAAGAAGAACACUGAAUAGUUAAGCAAAGACCAUAAUCUUUUAAGAUGUUUUAGAAGUAUUUAUCAAGCCAAUGCCGAUUACCUAAGACGUUAGUUGGUCCUCCUCUACCACCUCCCUCCUAUAUAUUAUWUGUACAACUUUUUUUUAUUGUUAACUUUAUUUUAUUAGCAUAAAUCUGUUUUUGG
Molecule: long non-coding RNA, 698 nt
Organism: Diuraphis noxia (Russian wheat aphid)
Lineage: Eukaryota; Metazoa; Arthropoda; Insecta; Hemiptera; Aphididae
Source: RefSeq, a predicted model, not a curated record